Xenia sp. Carnegie-2017 is the source of this 1332-nucleotide long non-coding RNA. RefSeq lists it as uncharacterized. The transcript is spliced from 2 exons. The record is from RefSeq and is a predicted model, not a curated record. Lineage: Eukaryota; Metazoa; Cnidaria; Anthozoa; Malacalcyonacea; Xeniidae.
UGUACAAAUUGGUUGAGAGGAAGCUGUGUUGGUUUUUAAUGAUAGUAAAUAUUCUGCUGAUGAUGAUAACACUUCUUGCCAUGUUUCCUGACUUGAAAGCCGAAGAGGUGCCUUAAAACCCUUACCCAGUGGAUUCCGGGAAUUAAGGAUGUCAAAAAGUCGGUCGAUAAUGCGAAUAAAUGUCACUGUCCCAUUACUGCCAGAGAAAUUUGGUUGUUUAGCGGAUUUGUCUAAAAACUCAAUAGCAUUUGCCACAGAGGAGCUCAAUGUUUGUGCAGCAAGUCGCACAUUCAUUUUGUGUUUGUGAAAGUUAAGGUGAUUACUCGUAAGUUUGUUUGUUAGGUUUAAUCCUUCUUCCAUUUGUAGGUUUUGAAGUUGUUCUAUGUAACUCCACUUUAUAAUGUUUUCCUUGCCAUCCUUAAAAGAACCAAGUUGGGCCAGUGCAUUGCGUGCAAGCUUUAACAUAUGGCAAGGGUCAAGAAUUACAAACACAUCUUCGCCAGUAGUUGGAUGGGUAAAUGAAGACCGCAUUUCAUCAUAUGUACCGUUAAAGUUGCAACCAAGACUUUCAAAUGUAUGAAUAUUUACAGCAGUACCAUCAGCUGUUACAGACCAUACCUUUAAACCUGCCUUUGAUGCUUUUUCAUCAAAGAUGGAUUGGGUAGUGGAACAAUGGAUCGAACAUAUUUAUAAGCUUUUGGAGAAUAAAAAUAUAAAAUGUUUUGGAGUUUUUUUUGGGUGGAGAAGUUUCAUCAACGGAAUCAGAGGUAGCUGCAAAAGGUCUUUUAUUUGAAAGCUCGAGUCUAUUCAGCAGUGCGUUUGAGUGGGUUGUAGAAGUUGAAACAUUUUGAACAUGCAAGCUAUUGGACAUGGAUGGUAUGGCAUACUUUUUUAGUCGGCAUUUGCCAUUUUGUGAGGGGGGGACAAUGUAGUCAGUUAGUUGAAAAUGGUCACUGCAUAUCUGAUGUGCACUUUUGCUGUCCAUGGUACUUCAAGAUGGUUUACUUGUUGAACAAAAUGCUCCCAUAAUUUUAUGGCUGCCUUGUUUUUCAUGGGAAAUCUGUAAUACAUAUAAAUAUUCAUGAUCUAGUAUUUUAAAUAUUAUACUUCCAGUAAUUUCACUACAAAUCCUUGUCCAGUUAAAUAAAGUUGUAAGCCCUGUACUAACAAUAUGAUACCAGUUAUAUCUACUUUACACUUUUACUGUGAAAAGUAUUAUUUUAUUGCAAUUGUGACCAGCUGAAACAAAUAAAUACUGUAUAUGACUAAACUGUCAAAAUAUAGAAUUUAUAUAUGUUAGUAUUUAACUGAAUUUUAUUAAAAUUUCAUUUU